GCCUCGCUAGCUCAAUCGGUAGAGCGUGAGACUCUUAAUCUCAAGGUUGCAGGUUCGACCCCCGCGUGGGGCC
Molecule: transfer RNA, 73 nt
Filed under: Morchella conica CCBAS932
Lineage: Eukaryota; Fungi; Ascomycota; Pezizomycetes; Pezizales; Morchellaceae
Rfam family: tRNA
About the family: Transfer RNA (tRNA) molecules are approximately 80 nucleotides in length. Their secondary structure includes four short double-helical elements and three loops (D, anti-codon, and T loops). Further hydrogen bonds mediate the characteristic L-shaped molecular structure. tRNAs have two regions of fundamental functional importance: the anti-codon, which is responsible for specific mRNA codon recognition, and the 3' end, to which the tRNAs corresponding amino acid is attached (by aminoacyl-tRNA synthetases). tRNAs cope with the degeneracy of the genetic code in two manners: having more than one tRNA (with a specific anti-codon) for a particular amino acid; and 'wobble' base-pairing, i.e. permitting non-standard base-pairing at the 3rd anti-codon position.
Source: Rfam by way of RNAcentral